GACGAACGCUGGCGGCGUGCCUAAUACAUGCAAGUAGAACGCACAGUUUAUACCGUAGCUUGCUACACCAUAGACUGUGAGUUGCGAACGGGUGAGUAACGCGUAGGUAACCUGCCUGGUAGCGGGGGAUAACUAUUGGAAACGAUAGCUAAUACCGCAUAAUAUUGAUUAUUGCAUGAUAAUUGAUUGAAAGAUGCUAUUGCAUCACUACCAGAUGGACCUGCGUUGUAUUAGCUAGUAGGUGAGGUAACGGCUCACCUAGGCGACGAUACAUAGCCGACAUGAGAGGGUGAUCGGCCACACUGGGACUGAGACACGGCCCAGACUCCUACGGGAGGCAGCAGUAGGGAAUCUUCGGCAAUGGACGAAAGUCUGACCGCGCAACGCCGCGUGAGUGAAGAAGGUUUUCGGAUCGUAAAGCUCUGUUGUAAGAGAAGAACGGGUGUGAGAGUGGAAAGUUCACACUGUGACGGUAUCUUACCAGAAAGGGACGGCUAACUACGUG
Molecule: ribosomal RNA, 505 nt
Filed under: uncultured bacterium
Lineage: Bacteria
Description: partial 16S ribosomal RNA
Rfam family: Bacterial small subunit ribosomal RNA
Source: RNAcentral